AAGCAGUUGGUGGUGGCUGAGCCGGUGGCGUUUGAGUGUUAACUGGAGGAGGAGAACUAUUGGGUGUUGGUGGAGCUUGGUUCGUGGGUGUUGGUGGUGCCUGGGUAGUGGGUGUAGGAGGAGCUUGGUUCGUGGGUGUUGGUGGUGCCUGGGUAGUGGGUGUAGGUGGUGCUUGGGUAGUAGGGGGUGUAGGAGGAGCUUGGUUAGUGGGUGUUGGUGGUGCCUGGUUAGUGGGUGUAGGUGGUGCUUGGGUAGUAGGGGGUGUUGGUGGUGCUUGAGUAGGUGUUGGUGGUCCUGGAGGUGCUUGACCACCAACUCCAGCUAUGAUAAUGCAGAUCAUAAAUCCCAACGAAACAGCAUUAUUCCUAUCCAUCAUUUUGACAAUAUAAUGGAGAGGAGGAAAUUGAA
RNAcentral lists this long non-coding RNA (408 nucleotides) under Capsicum annuum. Its description in RNAcentral is "long non-coding RNA (CANN_LNC007919)". The record is from RNAcentral. Lineage: Eukaryota; Viridiplantae; Streptophyta; Magnoliopsida; Solanales; Solanaceae.